This 1472-nucleotide ribosomal RNA is filed under the name uncultured Bordetella sp. RNAcentral's name for it is "partial 16S-23S ribosomal RNA intergenic spacer". It matches the Rfam family "Bacterial small subunit ribosomal RNA". Lineage: Bacteria; Pseudomonadati; Pseudomonadota; Betaproteobacteria; Burkholderiales; Alcaligenaceae. The record is from RNAcentral.
GGUUUGAUCCUGGCUCAGAUUAGCCCGCUGGCGGGAUGCUUUUACACAUGCAAGUCGAACGGCAGCACGGACUUCGGUCUGGUGGCGAGUGGCGAACGGUGAGAAGGUCGGGAACGUGUGCCUAGUAGCGGGGGAUAACUACGCGAAAGCGUGCAGCUAAUACCGCAUACGCCCUUCGGGGGAAAGCGGGGGGACCUCGGGCCUCGCACUAUUAGAGCGGCCGAUAUCGGAUUAGCUAGUUGGUGGGGUAGCGGCUCACCAAGGCGACGAUCCGUAGCUGGUUUGAGAGGACGACCAGCCACUGGGACUGAGACACGGCCCAGACUCCUACGGAGGUGGCACAGCAGUGGGGAAUUUUGGACAAUGGGGAAACCCCGAUCCAGCCAUCCUGGCGUGGUGCGAUGAAGGCCUUCGGGUUGUAAAGCACUUUUGGCAGGAAAGAAACGGCACGUGAUACUCCGUGCAACUGACGGUACCUGCAGAAUAAGCACCGGCUAACUACGUGCCAGCAGCCGCGGUAAUACGUAGGGUGCAAGCGUUAAUCGGAAUUACUGGGCGUAGCGUGCAGGCGGUUCGGAAAGAAAGAUGAAAUCCCAGAGCUUAACUUUGGAACUGCAUUUUUAACUACCGAGCUAGAGUGUGUCAGAGGGAGGUGGAAUUCGCGUGUAGCAGUGAAAUGCAGAUAUGGGUGGAGGAACACCGAUGGCGAAGGCAGCCUCCUGGGAUAACACUGACGCUCAUGCACGAAAGCGUGGGGAGCAAACAGGAUUAGAUACCCCUGUAGUCUCACGCCCAAACGAUGUCAACUAGCUGUUGGGGCCUUCGGGCCUUGGUAGCGCAGCUAACGCGUGAAGUUGACCGCCUGGGGAGUACGGUCAAGAUUAAAACUCAAAGGAAUUGACGGGGACUCCGCACAAGCGGUGGAUGAUGUGGAUUAAUUCGAUGCAACGCGAAAACCUUUACCUACCCUUGACAUGUUCGGAAUCCCGAAGAGAUUUGGGAGCGCUGCAAGAGAGCUGAACACAGGUGCUGCAAUGGUCGUCGUCAAAAAUGUGAGAUGUUGCUGUCCUGCAACGAGCGCCAAAUCCUGACAGUUGCUACGAAAGGCACCGACGAGACUGCCGGUGACAAACCGGAGGAAGGUGGGAUGACGCUGUCCCUUGGUGGCCUCAUGGGGUAGGGCUUCACACGUCAUACAAUGGUCGGGACAGAGGGUCGCCAACCCGCGAGGGGGGAGCUAAUCCCAGAAACCCGAUCGUAGUCCGGAUCGCAGUCUGCAACUCGACUGCGUGAAGUCGGAAUCGCUAGUAAUCGCGGAUCAGCAUGUCGCGGUGAAUACGUUCCCGGGUCUUGUACACACCGCCCGUCGCACCAUGGAGUGGGUUUUACCAGGAAGAAGAAUUUCUGGGAACCUGGGAGCAGGGCGAUUACCACGGUAGAUUCAUGACUGGGGUGAAGUCGUAACAAGGUAG